ACUACGGGAGGCAGCAGUGAGGAAUCUUGGACCAUGGGGGGAACCCUGAUCCAGCGACGCCGCGUGAGUGAAGCAGUAUUUCGGUAUGUAAAGCUCUAUCAGCAGGGAAGAAAAUGACGGUACCUGACUAAGAAGCCCAGGCUAACUACGUGACAGCAGCCGCGGUAAUACGUAGGGGGCAAGGGUUCGCCGGAUUUACUGGGUGUAAAGGGAGCGUAGACGGUGCAGCAAGUCUGAUGUGAAAGGUCGGGGCCCAACCCCGGGACUGCAUUGGAAACUGUUGAACUGGAGUACAGGGGAGGGAAGCGGAAUGCCUAGUGUAGCGGGGAAAUGCGUAGAUAUUAGGAGGAACACCAGUGGCGAAGGCGGCUUGCUGGACUGUAACUGACACUGAGGCUCGAAAGCGUGGGGAGCAAACAGGAUUAGAUACCCGAGUAGUC
RNAcentral lists this ribosomal RNA (440 nucleotides) under uncultured bacterium. Its description in RNAcentral is "partial 16S ribosomal RNA". It matches the Rfam family "Bacterial small subunit ribosomal RNA", at positions 338 to 795 of the family's 1533-position model. The record is from RNAcentral.